RNAcentral lists this ribosomal RNA (425 nucleotides) under uncultured bacterium. RNAcentral's name for it is "partial 16S ribosomal RNA". It matches the Rfam family "Bacterial small subunit ribosomal RNA", at positions 354 to 796 of the family's 1533-position model. The record is from RNAcentral.
GUGGGGAAUCUUGCGCAAUGGGCGAAAGCCUGACGCAGCCAUGCCGCGUGGAUGAUGAAGGUCUUAGGAUUGUAAAAUCCUUUCACCGGUGAAGAUAAUGACUGUAGCCGGAGAAGAAGCCCCGGCUAACUUCGUGCCAGCAGCCGCGGUACUACGAAGGGGGCUAGCGUUGCUCGGAUUUACUGGGCGUAAAGGGCGCGUAGGCGGACAUUUAAGUCAGGGGUGAAAUCCCGGGGCUCAACCUCGGAACUGCCUUUGAUACUGGUGGUCUUGAGUAUGAGAGAGGUGUGUGGAACUCCGAGUGUAGAGGUGAAAUUCGUAGAUAUUCGGAAGAACACCAGUGGCGAAGGCGACACACUGGCUCAUUACUGACGCUGAGGCGCGAAAGCGUGGGGAGCAAACAGGAUUAGAUACCCGUGUAGUCC